RNAcentral lists this ribosomal RNA (571 nucleotides) under uncultured bacterium. RNAcentral describes it as "bacterial SSU rRNA". It matches the Rfam family "Bacterial small subunit ribosomal RNA", at positions 59 to 663 of the family's 1533-position model. The record is from RNAcentral.
AAGUCGCACGGACUGUUUCGGCAGUUAGUGGCGGACGGGUGAGUAACACGUAGGUGACCUACCCCAAAGUCUGGGACAACUAGGAGAAAUCUUAGCUAAUCCUGGAUGUGAACCUCAGCUGUGGCUGAUGUUUAAAGCUUCGGCGCUUUGGGAUGGGCCUGCGGCGCAUCAGGUAGUUGGUGGGGUAACGGCCCACCAAGCCGACGACGCGUAGCUGGUCUGAGAGGACGACCAGCCACAGGGGUACUGAGACACGGACCCCACUCCUACGGGAGGCAGCAGUUAGGAAUCUUCCGCAAUGGGCGAAAGCCUGACGGAGCGAUACCGCUUGAAGGACGAAGCCCUUCGGGGUGUAAACUUCUGAACUCGGGACGAUAAUGACGGUACCGAGGUAAUAGCACCGGCUAACUCCGUGCCAGCAGCCGCGGUAAUACGGAGGGUGCGAGCGUUAAUCGGAAUUACUGGGCGUAAAGCGUGCGCAGGCGGAUUGUUAAGCAAGACGUGAAAUCCCCGGGCUUAACCUGGGAAUGGCGUUUUGAACUGGCAGUCUAGAGUGCGUCAGAGGGGGGUG